GUCCCCAUAGUUCAAUGGAUAGAACACGAUCCUCCUAAGAUUGAGAUACAGGUUCGAUUCCUGUUGGGGAUACCA
Molecule: transfer RNA, 75 nt
Filed under: Achromobacter xylosoxidans
Lineage: Bacteria; Pseudomonadati; Pseudomonadota; Betaproteobacteria; Burkholderiales; Alcaligenaceae
Description: tRNA-Arg
Rfam family: tRNA
About the family: Transfer RNA (tRNA) molecules are approximately 80 nucleotides in length. Their secondary structure includes four short double-helical elements and three loops (D, anti-codon, and T loops).
Source: RNAcentral